Molecule: ribosomal RNA, 378 nt
Filed under: uncultured Planctomycetota bacterium
Lineage: Bacteria; Pseudomonadati; Planctomycetota
Description: bacterial SSU rRNA
Rfam family: Bacterial small subunit ribosomal RNA
Source: RNAcentral
UAAUACGAAGGGCCCGAGCGUUAUUCGGAAUCACUGGGCUUAAAGCGUACGUAGGCUGGUAUAUAGGCGUCUUGUGAAAUCCCUCGGCUCAACCGAGGAACUGCAAGGCGAACCAUAUACCUUGAGACAGACAGAGGUCGUCGGAACGAUUGGUGGAGUGGUGAAAUGCGUUGAUAUCAAUCGGAACGCCGAAGGAGAGGUCAGGCGACUGGGUCUGUUCUGACGCUGAGGUACGAAAGCGUGGGUAGCGAACGGGAUUAGAUACCCCGGUAGUCCACGCCGUAAACGAUGUGCACUAGGUCGAGGGCGUUCUGACGCGACUCUCGGCCGAAGCGAAAGUGUUAAGUGCACCGCCUGGGGAGUACGGUCGCAAGGCUA